Long non-coding RNA from Equus caballus (horse), 2953 nucleotides. The record is from Ensembl. NCBI's taxonomy places the organism in Eukaryota, Metazoa, Chordata, Mammalia, Perissodactyla, Equidae.
UGUUGAACAGCUGAGCUGGUGCAGGCACCCUCCCCUCUUCCUGAUUUCGGUGGGAAAGUUUCUAAAGUUCCACCAAGUUUCAUUGCUUGCUCUGAAUUUAUGGCUGAAUAUAUGGCAGGAACCACUUCUCCUACCUUCAGUUCCAAUUGGAAAAUGAAUUUCUCAGUUUCUUAUCAACUUAAAUGAUGUGCUCCUCGUCCCCUGCCCUCCUCUCUCUUCUCUCAGAGCCUCAGACUAAGUGAAAAUAUUCCCCUCAGCAUUUGCUGUCUGCUUUCAAGGCUCUUCUAGACGACCUGCCCAUGCUCAGCGUCAAGUGGAGCCGAGAGGGAGGAGCAGCAGGAGCAGGAAGAAAAGGGGAGCUUGCAAAGCUUGCAGAGCUGGCCGGAAGGACCUGGCAGAAGUGGGGGGCCUGAUGUCCCUUUCGCAAAGCUCCCCAGGGAGGCUGUCUUGUAAGGGAUGCUUCCAUCGCUUGUCAUCUCAAGACUCCCCUGGGGAGGCAUGCAAGACAGCAUCUGCUAGAGUCCGCCAGCCAUGCGGGAAGCCUGUGGAAGGUGCUCCUCUCACCAUGACCCCAGCACUUUCCCUGGCUCUUCUCACCCAGCGUACUCUACCUUUGGCCUCCACUCUGCCAGCAGAACCUCCAUCGGCCUUGACCAGAACUCCACUAGGCCCUGUUGCCACGAGCUCAGCUCCAGGUCACUCCUGUUGGCCAUUUCCCAACUCAGGCCACGGCCGCGUGAGCUGUCGCAUUGAGUUCCUCUCCAGGUGGAACAUAAUCAAGGUCUUGCUCUUCCCUGUGUCAUCACACUUCGAGUCCCAGCAAGGGCACCUGUCCUGCCACUGACCAGUGGCCUCAUUCUGGGGAGGCCCCACAAAUAGGGAGGGAGAGACUGAUAGCCCCUCAGUUGCCAACCCUGAUGUCCAGAAGCUGCUCGAGACAGAAAUCACGGAAAGAAUACAAACGGAGGUCUGGGAAAAAGAACAAGAUGAUCCACACACUCCUCAGAUGCUCGAAGCACACACUAUCAUGUCUGGGCUGAAUUCACGCUGGGGCCUACCCCUCCUGUCUUUGGGGCCUGCAGAUCUGAAAGCAUGUGAGGCUCAACACUCGGCCCUUCCACGGUCCCCUUUUCCCCCCGCAGCCACCUGUGAUUCUGGGGCCCCCUCGAAAGCUGACUUUGCACACUUCAUGGGAAAACCUCUUGAGCCUCCUCCAGGUGACAAAGUCUUAACUUUGACAACAAAAGCAUCAGUUCCCAGCCUGGCCCAUCCCCUCCCUGCUCCCUCACCUGUGUGUGAGGAAAAUCAGAAGGCCCUGGGAGGGACCCUACCUGGCGAUGGCAGUGGGCCCUCAGAAGCCUCUCUCUUGGGACAGGAGGGCUGGCCGCCUUCUCCAACCUUCCCAUUCAGCCUCUCAGAGAGAAAAGGGCAGAGUGGGACCUUCGUGGGGGCCGAGCAAGGCCGUUGAGAGCUGACUUCAGGGUCAGCAGUGGCCAGGAAUGAGCCUCGGGAGGAGAGUAGGGGUGGGGCCUCACCAGAGCCCUGCCAUGGGGUGGCAACUCUGGAGGGGGAGUCAGGGUCCCAGUCUUGGAGCCAGGUCGGGGGAAUAGGAGACACCCUAGGGACCAAACCCCUCAAGCCCCUGCCUGAAAAGGAAGAGGUUUUUCAUGACAGCCCUUUCAGAAAAAUGUUGAGACGCCUCCUGCCCUGCCUGAGGCCCAACAAGGAUGAAGCACCAGAGGAUCCCCUUGCAAAGGCAAGCCCGCAUCAGCCACCGCUCAGAGCCGGGCACGGGUCACACACAGCUCGGCGUUGGAUGGCAGGGCUGUUCAGGAACCAUCGACAGUGACAUCCUUUGCAUCCUGGGAGAGAAACUGAGGCUUGCCGAGAACUUUUGGCCUCCCAGUUGAAGCAUCAUAAAAACCAUUUCAGGCCUGGGAAGCUGGACAUACCUGUUACCACGACGUUCCCUCCUCCCCAGAGCAGAGAAGAACAAUGACAGAGGACAGUCCCCAACCUACCUCCAGGAACCACAACUGUCCGACUACGAGGGAAUGGAUCAGAAUAGGCAUGGCAACUGGACCUUGCCAUCCAGGCAGCCGCGGUCCCCAGCCAAACCCUGCCAGCCUGUGCUAAGGGUGGCAGCUGCCUCAGCCAAUCCAUUACCCGCCAUGCUGUCCUCAGAUAUGUGUCUCCUGGGAUGAGUAGACUGUGUCUGACACACCUUUCCUCAUAGGAACGCUUAUCUCCCCAAAUGGGGAAGUGGAGGAACAGAAAACCUGGUUUUUCUCCUUAUCCCACCCUCUGUGCUAACGGUGUCUUCCUACCCCAGUUUUCCCCAAAUACGCUUUUUUUCUCCUUAGAGGUUGUGGCUUCUGUUUGUGCCCUGCUAGUGGCAAAAACGGGGUCAGGCUCCGCCCUUCCUGAGUGUCUGCUUUGGCUUCCAGAAGAGACAGGGCCAUGGGGGGAGGCUGACUGCAGAGUGGCUCACCUGACCUCUCCCCAACUCCCCCAUUGCACCUGAAGUUCCCAUCACACCGUCCUUACAAAAACAAAUGGAAGCUUUGGGCUAUUUGCAGAUGAGCAAAACCUCUAAGGCCCCAGCCCAGGAUGGGCCCCGUCUGUCCUCUCCUGCAUUCUCUGGCCCUUGAACUUGUGGGGCUGUAGGGAGGGGGUUUGCAGAGGAUCCAGGAAGUGUAGAGACAGGUUCACAGGUCACAGAGUGGGAAGGGGAGUGUGGGGCAGUGCUGGCCCUGAGUCCGGGGGGCGAGGAAGCUUGCCCUGCACCCCAAGCUCUUGGUGGGAAUAGAUGACGCUGCCCCGGGAGCUUCUUCUCUCCCUGAUGAAGCUGCCAUGGAGAUGGGCCUGCGCAUCCCUCUUGGCCCAGCGUCACCGUCCCUCUGUCCUUGUCACAGUCUGGAGCAGCAGCGACAAGGAUGACUGUGCUCCCGGC